UACGAAGGGGGCUAGCGUUGUUCGGAAUUACUGGGCGUAAAGCGCGCGUAGGCGGUUUUGCAAGCCAGAGGUGAAAUGCCUGAGCUUAACUUAGGAAUUGCCUUUGGGACUGCGAGGCUUUGAGGACGAGAGAGGUGAGUGGAAUUCCCAGUGUAGAGGUGAAAUUCGUAGAUAUUGGGAAGAACACCGGUGGCGAAGGCGGCUCACUGGCUCGUUUCUGACGCUGUAGUGCGAAAGCGUGGGGAUCAAACAGG
Molecule: ribosomal RNA, 254 nt
Filed under: uncultured bacterium
Lineage: Bacteria
Description: partial 16S ribosomal RNA
Rfam family: Bacterial small subunit ribosomal RNA
Source: RNAcentral